GCCUAUGUGGCUCAGUCAGUUGAGCAUUCGACUUCAACUCAAGUCAUGAUCUCACGAUUUACAAGUUCGAGUCUUGCUUUGGGUU
This 85-nucleotide transfer RNA is filed under the name Felis catus (domestic cat). It matches the Rfam family "tRNA". From Rfam's summary of the family: Transfer RNA (tRNA) molecules are approximately 80 nucleotides in length. Their secondary structure includes four short double-helical elements and three loops (D, anti-codon, and T loops). Lineage: Eukaryota; Metazoa; Chordata; Mammalia; Carnivora; Felidae. RNAcentral also lists the same sequence under 1 other name. The record is from Rfam by way of RNAcentral.